RNAcentral lists this signal recognition particle RNA (98 nucleotides) under Cyanobacteria bacterium UBA9579. RNAcentral's name for it is "signal recognition particle sRNA small type". It matches the Rfam family "Bacterial small signal recognition particle RNA". Rfam says of the family: The signal recognition particle (SRP) is a universally conserved ribonucleoprotein involved in the co-translational targeting of proteins to membranes. Archaeal SRP consists of a 7S RNA and homologues of the eukaryotic SRP19 and SRP54 proteins. Lineage: Bacteria; Bacillati; Cyanobacteriota. The record is from RNAcentral.
ACUGGGUCUGACGCGGCGAAAGCUGGUGAAUCUUGUCAGGGCGGGAACGCAGCAGCAAUAAGCCAUAACUUUCGGGUGUUGUCAGAGUGCUCGGUUGG